This 370-nucleotide long non-coding RNA is filed under the name Nicotiana benthamiana. RNAcentral's name for it is "long non-coding RNA (NBEN_LNC013891)". The record is from RNAcentral. Lineage: Eukaryota; Viridiplantae; Streptophyta; Magnoliopsida; Solanales; Solanaceae.
UAAAAUCACAUAAAACAAACCCAAAUCAUCUUAGAUCUAUACAGAACUAAGAGGUUUAGAAAAAAAUUAGGGUUUCGAAGAGAACCCAACAGAGAUAAAGGAACCUGCUUGGAAAAUCAUAGAUCGUAGCAAUAAUAGGACGAUCUCACUCGAAAUCACACCAGAAUGACCUGAAACAGACGAGAGAUGAACCCCAAAUGCAAGUCGACUAACCCUGGUCCUUUGAGGGUCCUGUAGAUGGCAAAAGUGACAUGAGAGAGGCCAUUGGAGGCCUGAGAGUUGGUGUGAGGUCAUCGGAGAUGGCCAUAGAUGAGUGACAACAUUUGGAGAUUAGGGUUAGGUUGAGAGCAUUUAAGAGCAGAGGGGUUUU